RNAcentral lists this ribosomal RNA (408 nucleotides) under uncultured bacterium. RNAcentral's name for it is "partial 16S ribosomal RNA". It matches the Rfam family "Bacterial small subunit ribosomal RNA", at positions 28 to 526 of the family's 1533-position model. The record is from RNAcentral.
GACGAACGCUGGCGGCGUGCUUAACACAUGCAAGUCGAACGAAGUGGCGAACGGGUGAGUAACGCGUAAUCAACCUGCCCAUCAGAGGGGGAUAACACUUGGAAACAGGUGCUAAUACCGCAUACUGAUGGAUGGACCCGCGGUGCAUUAGCUAGUUGGUGAGGUAACGGCCCACCAAGGCGAUGAUCCGUAGCCGGUCUGAGAGGAUGAACGGCCACAUUGGGACUGGGAAACGGCCCAGACUCCUACGGGAGGCAGCAGUGGGGAAUCUUCCGCAAGGGACGAAAGUCUGACGGAGCAACGCCGCGUGGUGGAUGACGGCCUUCGGGUUGUAAAGCUCUGUUAAUCGGGACGCGGUACCGGAAUAGAAAGCCACGGCUAACUACGUGCCAGCAGCCGCGGUAAUUC